AACAAGUGCACCGAGCUGUAGAAUGCACAAAUGGCAAACAUUAAAGGGGAGGUCCAGAAAGUUGAAUGGAGUGCAGGGGAGUUUCUGAAGUGACUGAAGGUGGGAAUAAGAGGCUCAGGAUGAAAAUGAUCAUCUGGGGACCGUGGGGAGUGGUUAAAACCGGGAAAUGAACCGAGUGGUGAGAGAUAUGGGCAGCCUAGAAAGAGGCUAAACUGUCACAGACUUUAAGUACACAGUGCAACAAACUCAGGGGCUCAGCUUUUUAAAGCACAGGUCCAUGUUUGAUCAAGGAGACUCAAAACUUCUUCCCAUUCAUUUUAUUCUGAAUACUUGUUUGAUUAAGUCUUUCAGAAUGUUUCUAUGGGGGCUGUUUCAGUUAACAAAGCAGAGAAAACCAGAAACCUGUCUAAAACACUAAUUUUUAAAGAGUGAUCUCAAUGUUGUUUUUUUUUUCCAGAUACUCCUCGCACAAGAAGGUUUGUAGAAAUAUAGAACUUUUAACAACGGAUAACUAUGAGAAGGCCCAACCCAGAAGUUUCCUGUAGAUUAAGAGAAAAGAAAAACAAAAAUAUAGGCAAUCUUGGAGGCCCAAGAUUUGCCCAGUAAUAAACAAUUUUUCUGGAAAACUGGAAACAAGGUUUAUUUCACCUCAGUCAGGCUGUUAGCCAGUAUUUUUGUUGGACUCAAGUUCUUAAAGAUUCAAAUGUUUCCUAUUCUCAACCUCUGGCUUACAGAUAAAUACUUAACGGUUUUUAUCUGGGGGCUGGCCCUACUUGAUAAGGACUUAUAAAACUGUACUAAAAAAUAUGUUUAAACAAAUCUUUCCCGUGACAGUAGCAGUCUUUUCCUCCAUGAGGAAAUCUGGCUCUUAGAGCUGAUCUGCAGGAAUUCGCUGCCAAAUAAGAGAUCUGCGGGCUGUGGGUUUGCCCAGGACGCUAACGGUGCUAACUGCUGUACACCCUUAGGAGCACCUUUCAGACCCCAGGGCAUCGAACAAGGCACAAUUUCAUCUUCCAUUUCAUUCCACUGCCAUUUCAUAAUUUAGAAAUUAAGGAACAAAAAAGUUAAAUAGCUUGCUCAGGGCAUAAAGUAAGUCCAAGUCAAGGUUUAAGCUUUUAAACUGAAGCCUGUCCGGCUGCACACCCCUUUUCCUCAGAGAUGGGCUCUCACUGGUGGCUUGGUAAGGCAGCUAUUUUUUUCAUUGCGUUUUUAAAGGGGAUAUUGUUUUUGUUUGUUUUUUGAGACAGAGUCUCGCUCUGUCACCCAGGCUGGGGUACAGUGGCGUGAUCUUAGCUCACUGCACCCUCCACCUCCCAGGUUCAAGUGAUUCUCCUGCCUCAGCCUCCCGAGUAGCUGGGACUACAGGAAUGACUACGCCCGACUAAUUUUUGUAUUUUUAGUAGAGAUGGGGUUUCACUAUGUUGGCCAGGCUGGUCUCAAACUCCUGAUCUCAAGUGAUCACCCACCUCAGCCUCUCAAAGUGCUGGGAUUACAGGCAUGAGCCACCACACCCGGCCUGUUUUCAUCAUUGUUUUUAAUGCAACUUUUAGGAUGCUUCUGAUUUUCCUAAUUUUAUUGAGGAAUAAUUAAUAGAAAUUAUACGUAUUCAAAGUAUACAAUGUGAUUAUUUGAUAUAAAUAUAGAUUGCAUAUUGAUUCCCAUAAUCAAAUUAAUCAACACAUCUGUCAUCACACAUAGUUACCCUCUGCAUGGAGAGGGAAAAGACUAAGGACGCUCCCUAAUCUCCAGAACAUAUUCAUCUUAUAAAUGAAAGCUUGUACCCUUUGACCAGCAUCUCACCGUUUCUCCCAUGCCCCAGACCCUGACAAUCACCAUUCUACUCUUGGCUUGUGGAUUCAACGUUUUUAUAUUCUACAUAUAACUGAGAUCAUACAGUAUUUGUUUUUCUGUGUCUGGAUUAUUCCACUUAGCAUAAUGUCCUCCAGGUUCAUCCAUGUUGUUGCAAAUGGCAGGCUUUCCUUAUUUUUAUGGCUAAAUAUUAUUCUAUCCUGUAUAUAUAUACCACAUUUUCUUUAACCAUUCCUAAGAUAAAUGGCACUUGGGUUGUUUCCAUAUCUUUGCUAUUGUGAGUAAUGCUGAAAUAAAUAUGGAAGUGAAGAUAUCUCUUUGACAUACUAAUUUGAUGUCUUUUAAACAUAUAUCCACAAGUGGGACUGCUGGAUCAUAUAGUUGAUUUUUACAAAACUUCCAUACCAAUGUCCAUAAUGGCUGUACCAAUUUUCACCCUAAUAGCGUACAAGGGUUCCCUUUCCUCCAUAUCCUUGUCAAAACUUGUUAUAUUUUGUCUUUUUGAUAACAGGCAUCCUAACAAAUGUGAGAUAAUAUCUCAUUGUGGUUUUGAUUUGCAUUUCUCUAAUGAUUAGUGAUGUCAAGCACCAUUUUUCUUUUUUUUUUCUUUUUCUUUUUUUUUUUUGAGACACAAUCUCACUCUGUUGCCCAGGCUGGAGGGCAGUGGCAUGAUCUUGGCUCAAUGCAGUCUCGACCUCUUCGGGUUCAGGUGAUCCUCCUGCCUCAGCCUCCUCACCUCAGUCUAAUGGGUAACUGAGACUAUAGGUGCAUGCCACCACGCCUAGCUAAUUUUUGUAUUUCUUGUAGAGACAGGGGUUCACCAUGUUGUCCAGGUUGGUCUGGAACUCCUGGACUCAAGCAAUCCACCUGCCUCGGCUUCCCAAAAUGGUGAGAUUACAGGCAUGAGCCACCGUACCUGGCAAGCAUCUUUUCAUUUACCUGUUGGCUAUUUGUGUGUCUUCUUUGGAAAAGUGUCUAUUAAGGUCCUUUGCCCCACCUCCACUUUUUUUUUUAUUUUAGUAUUGAGUUGUACGAGUUUCUCGUAUAUUAUGGACAUUGACCUUUUACCAGAUAUAUGGUUUGUAGACAUUCUCUCCCAGCCUGUAUGUUACCUUUUCAUUUUGUUGGUUGUUUCCUUUGCCGUGCAGAAGCUUUUUGGCUUGAUGUAGUCCCACUUGUAUGUUUUUGCUUUUGUUGCCUGUGCUUUGAGGUAACAGCAACAAAAUCAUUGCCAAGGCCAAUGUCAAGAAGCUUUUUUCCCCUGUGUUUUCUUCUAGAAAUUAUAUGGUUUCAGGCCUUACCAUUAAGUCUUUCUUUUCUUUUUUUUUGAGAUGGAGUCUCGGUCUGUCACCCAGGCUGGAGUGCAAUGGCAUGAUCUCAGCUCACUGCAACCUCCGCCUCCCAGGUUCAAGCCAUUCUCCUGCCUCAGCCUCCCGAUUAGCUGGGAUUACAGGUGCUGCCACCACGCCUGGCUCAUUUUUUGUAUUUUUAGUAAAGAUGGGGUUUCACUAUGUUGGCCAGGCUGGUCUCAAACUCCUGACCUUGUGAUCCGCCAGCCUCAGCCUCCCAAAGUGCUGGGAUUACAGGCAUGAGCCACUGCACCCGGCCUCUUACAGUUAAGUCUUAAUCCAUUUCAAGUUGAUUUUUGUAUAUGGUGUUAAGGGUCCAAUUUUAUUUUUUGGCAGGUGGAUAUCCAGUUUUCCCAACAGUAUUCUUCGAAGAGACUGUCCUUUCCCCCAUUGCGUAUUCUUGGCACCCUUGUCAGGAUGCUUCUAUGCAAUCCUCCAGAGGCUUCGGCAGCACCAGGGCUCCCCAGAACAAACCAAAGCCCUUUGGUGGAGCAUUUGGAUUUCAUCUCCCAUCUGGACUGUACCCCUUCCACCGGCGAGGGCAAAGUUCACAUGUGAAGUCUACAGAGUAAGAUGCCAUGAUGGGUAAUGUGGGGAUUCAGGAACAAGCGAGUGAGUAAGCAGGGCUGGAAACUGAGAUUUGAGCUGCGUUUGUGGUAGGCUCUGCUUACGAGAUGGGAGGGCAACCCAUGCUCUUGCUGAGAGCGAAGGAAAGAGGAACUCACCACUGGCUGGAGGAAUGUCCACUCGUCAUGGGAAGGCAGAAAUGGAUUAUCAAGUUUCAGACUUAGAAAACAAAGAAAAACUCUAAUUGCGGACAUUCCUUGCAGUUUAAGAUCAGGGUAAAUAUACCAAUACAAAAUUACUGGGGUCAAAGGCUUUUGUAUGUGUGGUUUUUUCCCGCAGUAAUGGGUCACUUGAUCAGAAAUCCCUGUGUGAACUCACUUUUUUUUGGUAAUGAUGACAUGAGAAUUUCCACACUUGCCAAGUCAGUAUUACGUGGAACUGAAACCAGACUCAGUGCAUAUGAAGACUUUGCUCACACUUGUUUUUACUACAGUCAGCAAUGCUUCAUAAGGCCAAAUUUAAUGAUGUAAUUUUGGCAGAGCUAAUAUAAAUAGCUCAAAAUUAUUAAUUUACUUUUGGUUGCAAUUAUUAACCAAUAUGUAUGUUAUGUGAUAGCUAUCAGUUUUCUAUUUACCUUUAUUAGGUGAGGCCCCAAAGAAAAAUUUUUAGCUAAAUAUAUUAGGUUCUCCAAAGGGUCAGGAAAGGAGCCUGAAAACAGAGAAGAGACUGAAUUGAAUAGCUUAGAUUUCUAGUACUGGGCAUUCUGAAAGCGUUUUGGCAAUUUAUCCCCUAAAAAAGAAUUUAGAUCAGAUGGGAGAUAAUAAAUUAGAGAAUUUGAUUCAAGAGGCUUAACUCUGGUUAAUCAAAUGAUGACUAAUUUCCAAUCUGGAAUUUGAUCAAUUAGUAAACUGGUACCCCAAAAUUGGUUAAGAGUAAAAUUGUUAAGAGGGCUGUAGUCAUUUUUAAAAGAGAUGUUAUUUCUUAUUCCCAAUCAAAUCUUAUAUUGCUGAAUUCUAUUAUGCUCCAAUAUUAAAUUUUUAAAAGUUGGCUUUUUAAAAAUUGGUUUUUAAAAUUGGUUUUUGAAAAUUUAAAAAGUUGGUUUUUAAAAAUUUUUUUAAUUUUUAAAAGUUGGCUCACGCCUGUAAUCCCAGCACUCUGGGAAGCCAAGGCAGCUGGAUCAUGAGGUCAGGCAUUUGAGACCAGCCUGGCCAACAUAGUGAAACCCCAUCUCUACUAAAAAAAUACCAAAAAAUUAGCCGGGUGUGGUGGCAGGCGCCCGUAAUCCCAGCUACUCAGGAGGCAGAGGCAGGAGAAUCGCUUGAACCUGGGAGGUGUAGGUUGCCGUGAGCCGAAAUCACGCCAUUCAUUGUUCUCCAGCCCGGGUGACAGUGCGAG
RNAcentral lists this long non-coding RNA (5120 nucleotides) under Homo sapiens (human). RNAcentral's name for it is "HSALNT0145799". Lineage: Eukaryota; Metazoa; Chordata; Mammalia; Primates; Hominidae. The record is from RNAcentral.